CUUUUCUGGACCUGCCCUUUUGCAGCUCAAUGUUGGGACCUGAUUUGCCCUUCAAGACAGCCAAAUGCUUCAAUUGUGGAAGCUUUUCUUGAUCUCAAGCAGAAGUUACAUGUACCUUUUUUCAUGGAGAUAAUCAUCCUUGCUUCCUGGGCUAUCUGGAUCUCAAGGAACAACUUGAUCUUCCAAGCAGUACAACCUAGCAUUCAGAGGUGGAAAGCUAUUUUCCUGGAAGAGCUAAAUCUUCUAAGAUUUAGAAUUAAGAAGAGUUAUGCUGGAGUUUAUUGUUCCUGGCUUGACAAUCUUGUACUGUAA
Molecule: ribosomal RNA, 312 nt
Filed under: Triticum aestivum (bread wheat)
Lineage: Eukaryota; Viridiplantae; Streptophyta; Magnoliopsida; Poales; Poaceae
Description: partial small subunit ribosomal RNA
Source: RNAcentral